Long non-coding RNA from Hordeum vulgare subsp. vulgare (domesticated barley), 1272 nucleotides. RefSeq lists it as uncharacterized. The transcript has 3 exons. The record is from RefSeq and is a predicted model, not a curated record. Lineage: Eukaryota; Viridiplantae; Streptophyta; Magnoliopsida; Poales; Poaceae.
GGGAAACUGCAGCAUUUGAUAUCCUUUUGGGGAAAGGCUACAAUGGACCCUCCAAAUAUUCUCUGCUUACUGCACAUUUCAUUUUUGUAGAGAUUAUGCCUGAAGCACCGGGUGUUUGAAGUAUCUCAAGCUGAUCUUCAGAACGAUGAGGACCAGGCCUACAGGAAGAUUAUGCCUGAACCAUUUGUCGUUUCUCCUUUGGCUCCGUCUAUUCUUGUCCCAUCUCUUUGCUAGACACUUUUUUAGAUUGCAAGUUUCUGCAUGUACUAGUGCUCGCUAUUCUAAGGAAAUUGCUUGUUCGCAUCGUUAGAGAACGCUAGUUGGUACUUUUACCCAAACCGAAUGUUUCUGAACUUUUUCUGUGGUUGUGCUCAAUUUAUCCCAUGGCUGUAAAAAAAAGUGUAGCACGCCGAAACACAGUAAGAGGAUGUGAUAAGAAAAUUGUUCAGUUGUUUUCUGCUCGUACAGUUUAUGCCCAGUUUCUUCUAUUUAUCUUGUGAUAAUGUGACUUGGAAAGUAUAAAUGUUAUCAUUUCCUUUUAAUUCAACAUUCAAGUCAUCCUUCCUUGCAGAUAACGGAAACCUCCAUAGGUCAAGCACUAUGCCGGGGGUGAUAAAGGAUACUGAGAUAACUACUGAAACUACGGGUCCAUCAAAUCUGGAAAGGUCAAAAACUGAGAGGCGCAAACAAAGUAACCCAGCUGAUGAUCCUGCUAAACAGUUAUUGGAUGAUAAGAUUUCCAUAAGGAAAAAGCUCAAAAUGUUAAAUCGAAUAGCUACAGUGAAGGAUGAUGGAACUGUGGUUGUUAAUGUACCAAGUACACUAGAUGCGACUCCAAUUGACGUUGGAGUAGUGGAUGGCUAUGAGGAUGAUGUAGUUGAAGAAUCAUUUUGUAGUCAGCCGCUCAUCUCUUAACUAGCAUCAGUGAUUCAAGGCCUAGGGGUGUUCCACGAUGGGCAACCUUGUCAGUUCAGUCUAGUGUAAGAUUUAUAUAUGUGGAAACAGCAGAGACCUUGACUCGCAGUUUGCAAACAUGUCUUUGAAACACAAGGAUAUAUUGUUAACUAUGGUACUCAACUUAUUGAUGCACAUGGACAUGAUGACUCUCUAGCGUUUAUGGACCAACCAACCUGUAAUCAUGGACCUUAUUGUCUUGUAGACCAUUUGGUGUUUCGAGUGUUUUGGAGCUUGCCCUUUGUGCAUGUAGAUACAAAUUUGUGUGUUCUGGACCAUCUGAAGUCUCUCAUAGUAAUCAAUAGUCCUUAUCUUUUU